Molecule: long non-coding RNA, 3947 nt
Organism: Mirounga angustirostris (Northern elephant seal)
Lineage: Eukaryota; Metazoa; Chordata; Mammalia; Carnivora; Phocidae
Exons: 2
Source: RefSeq, a predicted model, not a curated record
GAGCGGGCCGGGAGCCGGGGAGUGUGCGGGGCGCUGCGGGGUCCCGGGCUGAGGAGCGCGCUGCGCUGCCGCUUUGUCUAAGAAGAGACAGCGUUGUGUAUGUUACAGUGUCUGAGUCCUGUGCUGCUUCCUCAAAGCGGUUGAAAGAGAACUCGAGCCAGAAGCGGCGUCACGGAGACGAAGGCCGACCUUGAGAAAAACACCCCGAAGGAUCUGGGAGAAAUGGAGGCUCCCGAAGCGCAGCGGAAGCGCGCAGCCACCGAAGAUGCGGCCCGCGAGACGGCUGAGGUGCUUCCCUCGGGGUGCCGGCGGCCCUGGGCAGGUGCAGGCCGCUGCGGCCGCGGCUGGCUGCUCAGGCCCCAGGACGGUCCCCGUCCCGUUUCUGGCUGCAGUCAGCGAAGAGUAAUCGCUUCUGUGGUUGGAGCAGAAGUGGGAUUCCCUUCGGAGUGAAGGGUCUGUGAUCUGUUUUCCCUGCUCAGCUGUUCUGUGAACAAGUUUUUAAAAAGCCCUCAGACAGCGAAGAGGAAGGCCGAACGCUGAGGAGAUAAAGGACUGAAGCCUGGGUAGUGCCGCCAGGGACUUCGAUGGGGAGCGAAGCGCUGGGGAUGGGGGGCGGUGAGAACAUCCUCAGGGGUAACCAGUCAUGUUUCUAAUUCUGGAACUCUCCGGGCGGAGCUGCAGUUGAUUUUAGAUUCACAUCUUUUUUAAGAUUUUGAUGUAUUUACUUAUUUAGCGCGCAAGUAGGCGAAGGGGCAGAGGGAGACAGAAUCUCAAGCAGACUCGCACUGAGAGGGAGCCCAGCGCGGGGGGGGGGGGCGGGGGGGUGUCCUAAGGACCCUGGAUCCCGACCUCAGCGGAAAUCAGUAGUGGCUCUCUUAACGAACGGAGCCACCCAGGCGCCCCGUGGGUUAGUAUUUGUUUUUAAUGAAAGCGAGGUAAGGCCAAAAUGUCCAAAGUCGUCUUAAUAUUUGAAAUAAUUUUUUUUAAAGAUUUUAUUUAUUUAUUUGACCGAGAGACACAGCGAGAGAGGGAACACAGGCAGGGGGAGUGGGAGAGGGAGAAGCAGGCCUCCUGCCGAGCAGGGAGCCCGAUGCGGGGCUCGAUCCCAGGACCCUGGGACCGUGACCCAAGCCGAAGGCAGACGCUCAACGACUGAGCCACCCAGGCGCCCUUGCCUCACCCUUCUUAUAAAACAUUCCAUUUUAUAUACUUCCUCAGAUGCUGCCCAAUUCAUGGAUCAUUUAAUGGAGUCAAUUAGAUCUUCAAAUUUACUUGGUUGAAUUUUGUUUUUUAUUUUUUUAUUAUUUUUUUAAAUAUUUUAUUUAUUUAUUUGACAGAGAGAGACUCAGCGAGAGAGGGAACACAAACAGGGGGAGUGGGAGACGGACAAGCAGGCCUCCUGCCGAGCAGGGAGCCCGAUGCGGGGCUCGAUCCCAGGACCCUGGGACCGUGACCCAAGCCGAAGGCAGACGCUCAACGACUGAGCCAUCCAGGCAGACGCCCCUGAGAUAAUACUUUUUAAGUUCUAUGUGUGGUAUGUUCCAGACCCUGUUCUAAACACCUCCCAUGUUAUUUCAUUACCUUGUAAGAAAAGUUCUGAUAUGUAUUGUGUUUAUCUAAGGAGGGAACUGGUGUACAUAGAGAUUAAAUGACUUGCCCGAGAUCGCACGUUUAGUAACUGGUGAAGCGGAAAGAUGAACGUCUGAUACCAGAGUCUGCGCUUACAACCACUGUACUUGUUUGACCACCUCAGUAGUGCUGAGUGUAUUGUGGAAAAGGACUGGAAUAAAAACCAGUGGUUCUGAUCCCUGCACUGCAUGUAAGAAGGUCUCAAUACUUGGUGAACUCUUCAGCCUUUUCUUUCAAGAGACAUUGGCCCAAUCAAAGUGCUCAUUUUAUUUAUUAUUUCAUUCACUCAACAAAUGUUUCUGGAGCACUACCAAUUCAUGUGACUCUAUAUUGGAUUUUAGGAAUUUAAAGACAGGUGAGAUUCAGUCCCACUCCUCUAAUGGCUCACACUCGAGCAUGGAGACAGCAGGUGCUGUAAGUGGUGUCAUAGAGGCAGAAGUUACGUAUUAUAGUCUGGGAGCAUAGAGAAGGAGUACUUAAUAAAGAAUUUCUUUGAGAGGGGUGCCUGGGUGGCUCAUGCGGUUAAGCGGCUGCCUUCGACUCAGGUCAUGAUCCCAGAGUCCUGGGAUCGAGCCCCGCAUCGGGCUCCCUGCUCAGUGGAGAGCUUGCUUCUCCCUCUGCCCCUCUGCCUACUUUUUUUUUUUUUAAGAUUUUAUUUAUUUAUUUGAGAGAGAGAGAGAAUGAGAGACAGAGAGCACAAGAGGGAAGAGGGCAGAGGGAGAAGCAGACCCCCUGCUGAGCAGGGAGCCCGAUGCGGAACUCGAUCCCGGGACUCCAGGAUCAUGACCUGAGCCGAAGGCAGUCGUUUAACCAACUGAGCCACCCAGGCGCCCCCUCUCUGCCUACUUGUGCUCUCUCUCUGUCAAAUAAAUAAAAUCUUAAAAAAAAAAAAAAAAAGAAUUUGUUUGAGAAAAGUGUAGAAAAGACUCUGGAGGGGAUGAAAUAUGAGGUGAAGCUUAAUAGAUGCAAUGAGUUGAAGAUGGACUGGAGUGGAAGAUGGGAAAAAAGAGAUACUUGAAUGUGAGUUCAAUUAAUGGACCUUGUAGGAAAUGGAAGCCAUUCAUGAGAUAGCUGAAUUAUCUCCAAACUUAAAAUACUUUAGAGAGUUUUUAUUUUUAUUGUGUAUUUAUUUAGAAAGAUGAUUUUAUUUUAAAAUAUAGAUAGAAGCAAAACAGGAAACCUGGAGACAAGGGCAAAGAAUAAGAAGGCGCAGCCAGCAAAUUAUGAGGAAAAUGAACAAACAAAAAUCGGUCAGGGCAAACAAGGGAGGAGAGUUUCAAAUAAGAGGUUGAUGACAUCAGUGUCAUACAGAGAUCAGUUGGGAAUUUCUGUGUUCUAGGCAUGUUAUAGGCUCCUUAUAUGUACUAAAUCAUCCAAGAACACUUUGCUGUUUAAUCCUCACAACAACCCCAUUUUACGGAUGAGGGAAAUGAAGUACAAGGAAGUUAAGUGUUUUGUGCAAGAUCAUGCUGCUGGUCACACAAAAGUUGGGAAGAGAAAGACAGAUCUCAACUAGCCUAUGUCCCAGUCUGGGCUGAGGAGGAGCAAAGAGCUGCCUAAAGAAAGGAGUAGCUGCGACAAACCGCAGAGGUCAAGAUGGCCACCGGCCAGUGGAACCGGCUGCCUGGGUCCACACUCACCAGCCACCCUCACGAGCACCACCCAGGCGCCGCGAGGACAGCAGAGCUGCCGUCCCCAAGCAUUACAACUUCCGGAAUGGAGAAGCAGAAGCUCACUCUUCAGACAUGGUCCUGAUGAUGCCUUUGUGCUCCUUUGUGGCCUCCCAGUUCGUGCCGUUGAAUCCCUCCACGACCACACUCCACCCAGUGCCCUCCUCCAGGCAGUGUGGGGCCAUUCCAGAGCCUCCAGGGUGAGCGGGGCGUGUAGAGGCUCUGAAUGCCACCCCCGUACAGAAGGUGAUGAGAGAAAAACUCUCUGAAGACCUCAUACACAGGGGAAGCCGUUUUAAAUUUCUUUCUGAGGUAGCAUGACCAUAUAUAAACUUUGCUCAAACCAAAAGCCUAGCGUUUGGCGCACCACGAAUACGCGUACAUCUGCUUUGUAAUGAGUAGCCUAAAGGAAAACCAGCUUGUCCUUGAGGUAUCGAUGGAUACUCCUACUCCCGGCGUUCCUUUGCGGUAAAACUCAUUCCUGCCUGUGUGCCAAUCUAUAGUCUUUGAGCUCUUACAAGAUGUAAAAAAGUAUAUGACCCUGUAAAAACUGUUCCUUCUCCAGAACAUUUUCUUCCCUGUGAAGAGCGUGUUUCCUGGCAGCCGGCCUAAGUUGGGCUCAAAUAAAACUCUUUUUUCUUACUUUCA